This 497-nucleotide ribosomal RNA is filed under the name uncultured bacterium. RNAcentral describes it as "partial 16S ribosomal RNA". It matches the Rfam family "Bacterial small subunit ribosomal RNA", at positions 28 to 507 of the family's 1533-position model. The record is from RNAcentral.
GACGAACGCUGGCGGCGUGCCUAAUACAUGCAAGUUGAGCGCUGAAGGUUGGUACUUGUACCGAUUGGAUGAGCAGCGAACGGGUGAGUAACGCGUGGGGAAUCUGCCUUUGAGCGGGGGACAACAUUUGGAAACGAAUGCUAAUACCGCAUAAAAACUUUAAACACAAGUUUUAAGUUUGAAAGAUGCAAUUGCAUCACUCAAAGAUGAUCCCGCGUUGUAUUAGCUAGUUGGUGAGGUAAAGGCUCACCAAGGCGAUGAUACAUAGCCGACCUGAGAGGGUGAUCGGCCACAUUGGGACUGAGACACGGCCCAAACUCCUACGGGAGGCAGCAGUAGGGAAUCUUCGGCAAUGGACGAAAGUCUGACCGAGCAACGCCGCGUGAGUGAAGAAGGUUUUCGGAUCGUAAAACUCUGUUGGUAGAGAAGAACGUUGGUGAGAGUGGAAAGCUCAUCAAGUGACGGUAACUACCCAGAAAGGGACGGCUAACUACGUG